GUCCCCGUAGCUCAGUUGGACUAGAGCAACAGCCUUCUAAGCUGUGGGUCGCUGGUUCGAAUCCAGCCGGGGACACCA
RNAcentral lists this transfer RNA (78 nucleotides) under Acidobacteriota bacterium. RNAcentral's name for it is "tRNA-Arg". It matches the Rfam family "tRNA". From Rfam's summary of the family: Transfer RNA (tRNA) molecules are approximately 80 nucleotides in length. Their secondary structure includes four short double-helical elements and three loops (D, anti-codon, and T loops). The record is from RNAcentral. Lineage: Bacteria; Pseudomonadati; Acidobacteriota.